RNAcentral lists this signal recognition particle RNA (282 nucleotides) under Homo sapiens (human). Its description in RNAcentral is "long non-coding RNA NONHSAT117559.2". It matches the Rfam family "Metazoan signal recognition particle RNA". Rfam says of the family: The signal recognition particle (SRP) is a universally conserved ribonucleoprotein. Lineage: Eukaryota; Metazoa; Chordata; Mammalia; Primates; Hominidae. The record is from RNAcentral.
GCCGGGCAUGGUGGCGCACACCUGUAGUCCCAGCUACUCAGGAGGCUGAGGCAGGAGAAUCGCUUGAACCUGGGAGGCGGAGCUUGCGGUGAGCCGAGAUCGCGCCACUGCACUCCAGCCUGGGCGACAGAGCGAGACUCUGUCUCAAAAAAAAAAAAAAGUAUAUUUUAUUAAUACUCUUUUUUUGAGACGGAGUCUCGCUCUGUCGCCCAGGCUGGAGUGCAGUGGCGCGAUCUCGGCUCACCGCAACCUCCGCCUCCCAGGUUCACGCCAUUCUCCUGC